This 72-nucleotide transfer RNA is filed under the name Tupanvirus deep ocean. RNAcentral's name for it is "tRNA-Glu". It matches the Rfam family "tRNA". From Rfam's summary of the family: Transfer RNA (tRNA) molecules are approximately 80 nucleotides in length. Their secondary structure includes four short double-helical elements and three loops (D, anti-codon, and T loops). Further hydrogen bonds mediate the characteristic L-shaped molecular structure. tRNAs have two regions of fundamental functional importance: the anti-codon, which is responsible for specific mRNA codon recognition, and the 3' end, to which the tRNAs corresponding amino acid is attached (by aminoacyl-tRNA synthetases). tRNAs cope with the degeneracy of the genetic code in two manners: having more than one tRNA (with a specific anti-codon) for a particular amino acid; and 'wobble' base-pairing, i.e. permitting non-standard base-pairing at the 3rd anti-codon position. Lineage: Varidnaviria; Bamfordvirae; Nucleocytoviricota; Megaviricetes; Imitervirales; Mimiviridae. RNAcentral also lists the same sequence under 1 other name. The record is from RNAcentral.
ACCAAUAUGGUCUAAUGGUUAUGACAUUGCUCUCUCAAGGCAAAAGUCUGGGUUCGAUUCCCAGUAUUGGUA